This 317-nucleotide long non-coding RNA is filed under the name Ananas comosus (pineapple). RNAcentral's name for it is "long non-coding RNA (ACOM_LNC044003)". Lineage: Eukaryota; Viridiplantae; Streptophyta; Magnoliopsida; Poales; Bromeliaceae. The record is from RNAcentral.
GAAAGAGUUUAGAUAAUUCUGAUUUUUAAUAUUAAAAAAAUAAAAAGUGAUACAAUAAUACUAUCUGUACACCUAAAAAUAAAUAUGAAUUUUACAUCUUGUCAAUCUAAAUUUUAUACAAUUUUUUUUUUUUUGAGAGAUAGAUAACAUAUUAUUCGCUUCGUUUAUUUUAUUUAAAAAUAAACUUAGUUAGAAAUGUGAAUCAAUUAGGAUUUGAAUUUGGGACCUCGGGCACCAACCAUCAAACCCUUUGUCACUUGCGGUAGGAGGGUCUGUCAAUUUUGGUAUUUUUAGUCAUAAAAAGAAUAAAGCAUGAU